This is a long non-coding RNA of Mya arenaria, 1163 nucleotides long. RefSeq lists it as uncharacterized. The record is from RefSeq and is a predicted model, not a curated record. Lineage: Eukaryota; Metazoa; Mollusca; Bivalvia; Myida; Myidae. The transcript has 4 exons.
AGUUUUAUUUCCGGAUAGCCCUUUAAGCUCCCGUUUUAGUAUAAUAUAACUCUUUUAAGGAUUAUAACUUGCACUUCCAAUAUUUCGACAUGGACAAAACAGCCUCAAGUCAACGUUGUAAGUGCUCCGUCACCAUGAUGUGUCACUGUGGUACGAAAGGAUUGGGAUCAAGUUAUGCGGAUUGUUGAGAGCAAUAUGAUGAGGGAAGGCAGGAAAGAGUCUUAUUGUCUGUAUGUACUCAAAAUGGUGUUCGAGAGGUGGCGAAUAAGGAUUUGCUUGCAGCAUUGAAGAACGAUAAUAUGCAAAGAACAAAAAGAAAGGUUCUCUUAACAUACAUGUAGAAAGUAAAGAAAAAAUGAAGUUCACACUACAGCUGACAAUCUGGAUGUGUUUCCUUUGUUAUUUGAACAUUAUUUAUUUUAACUUACAUAACAAGUAUGCACUACAAUAAUGAAUAUCUAUAUUAAUAGUAAUGAUAUUCCAUUAAACAUGGAUAUGGAAAAAAUAUUCUUUGACAAUGCAAGAUAAGAUAAAUCCAGACAUAGUCAGAGUCUUCAGUUAACUUGGAUGUGUUCCAUUUGUUUCAUCCACAUACUUGAAAUUUGUCUUGUAACUACAUGUAUUUUUAUGAUGUUAAGUGGUGAGUAAUCAACCUUUAUCAUAACAUUUUCUUAUUUGGGGAUAGUAUGUAUUUAUGUUGACACUAUGUGUACCUUCAUUCUCUUCAUUUUUCUGUUCAAAACAAGACCAAAUGUGUCAUUUUAGUUUAACCAUUUUAAACUGUAUUUAUUAUACUCUUCAUUGAAUACCCAUUCGUAUAUUAUCAAACAUUUUAACAAAUUUAAAUCAUUUUAGUUUAACCAUUUUAAACUGUAUUUAUUAUACUCUUCAUUGAAUACCCAUUCGUAUAUUAUCAAACAUUUUAACAAAUUUAAAUGUGUUUGUUAUUUUGAUUAUAUUGUAUUGGUGUCAUAGGGUACAUGUACAUGUCCAUUCCUAGCCUUCAAGAUAAAACAGAUAUAUUCUUUGUUGUAAAAUGUGUUCUUUAUGCAUAAACAUGUAGAGUGGCUACAGAGAACUCAACAUUUUUCUUACAAAAUGCAGGUUUCCCUGCAUGUGAUUGCUACAUUCAGUGUACCUCAUGUUAUAUAAUACAUUGUAUA